CAAGUAAUUAAGUGCAUGUGGUGGAUGCCUUGGCAGUCAGAGGCGAUGAAAGACGUGAUAGCCUGCGAAAAGCUCCGGGGAGGCGGCAAAUAUCCUUUGAUCCGGAGAUGUCUGAAUGGGGGAACCCACCUACUUUAAGGUAGGUAUUGCAACAUGAAUACAUAGUGUUGCAAGGCGAACGAGGGGAAGUGAAACAUCUCAGUACCCUUAGGAAAAGAAAUCAAUUGAGAUUCCCUCAGUAGCGGCGAGCGAACGGGGAUCAGCCCAUUAAGUUAUGUGUGUUUUAGUGGAACGCUCUGGGAAGUGCGAACGUAGAGGGUGAUAUUCCCGUACACGAAAGGGCACACAUAAUGAUGACGAGUAGGGCGAGGCACGUGAAACCUUGUCUGAAUAUGGGGGGACCAUCCUCCAAGGCUAAAUACUCCUGACUGACCGAUAGUGAACCAGUACCGUGAGGGAAAGGCGAAAAGAACCCCUGUGAGGGGAGUGAAAUAGAUCCUGAAACCGCAUGCAUACAAGCAGUGGGAGCACCUUCGUGGUGUGACUGCGUACCUUUUGUAUAAUGGGUCAGCGACUUAUAUUCAGUAGCGAGGUUAACCGUAUAGGGGAGCCGUAGAGAAAUCGAGUCUUAAUAGGGCGUUUAGUUGCUGGGUAUAGACCCGAAACCAGGCGAUCUAUCCAUGAGCAGGUUGAAGGUUGGGUAACACUAACUGGAGGACCGAACCCACUGUCGUUGAAAAGCCAGGGGAUGACUUGUGGAUAGGGGUGAAAGGCUAAUCAAGCCUGGUGAUAGCUGGUUCUCCCCGAAAGCUAUUUAGGUAGCGCCUCGGACGAAUACCAUAGGGGGUAGAGCACUGUUUCGGCUAGGGGGUCAUCCCGACUUACCAAACCGAUGCAAACUCCGAAUACCUAUGAGUACUAUCCGGGAGACAGACUGCGGGUGCUAACGUCCGUAGUCAAGAGGAAAACAAUCCAGACCGCCAGCUAAGGCCCCAAAAUCAUAGUUAAGUGGGAAACGAUGUGGGAAGGCAUAGACAGCUAGGAGGUUGGCUUAGAAGCAGCCACCCUUUAAAGAAAGCGUAAUAGCUCACUAGUCGAGUCGGCCUGCGCGGAAGAUGUAACGGGGCUAAAACUAUGUGCCGAAGCUGCGGAUGUAUACUUUGUAUACGUGGUAGGGGAGCGUUCUGUAAGCCGAUGAAGGUGUGUUGAGAAGCAUGCUGGAGGUAUCAGAAGUGCGAAUGCUGACGUGAGUAACGACAAAACGGGUGAAAAACCCGUUCGCCGAAAGACCAAGGGUUCCAGUCCAACGUUAAUCGGGGCUGGGUGAGUCGACCCCUAAGGCGAGGCCGAAAGGCGUAGUCGAUGGGAAAAUGGUUAAUAUUCCAUUACUUCUGUGUAAUGCGAUGAGAGGACGGAGAAGGCUAAAUCAGCCUGGCGUUGGUUGUCCAGGUGAAAGGAUGUAGGCAUGUAUCUUAGGCAAAUCCGGGGUACUCUAUGCUGAGAUCUGAUAGCAAGCUGUACUUGUACAGCGAAGUGGUUGAUGCCAUGCUUCCAGGAAAAGUCUCUAAGCUUCAGUUACACAGGAAUCGUACCCGAAACCGACACAGGUGGUCAGGUCGAGUAGACCAAGGCGCUUGAGAGAACUCUGCUGAAGGAACUAGGCAAAAUGGUACCGUAACUUCGGGAGAAGGUACGCUGUUGUUGGUGAUGGAACUCGCUUCCUGAGCUGACGACAGCCGCAGAAACCAGGCCGCUGCAACUGUUUAUUAAAAACAUAGCACUCUGCAAACACGAAAGUGGACGUAUAGGGUGUGAUGCCUGCCCGGUGCUGGAAGGUUAAUUGAUGGGGUUAGCGUAAGCGAAGCUCUUGAUCGAAGCCCCAGUAAACGGCGGCCGUAACUAUAACGGUCCUAAGGUAGCGAAAUUCCUUGUCGGGUAAGUUCCGACCUGCACGAAUGGCAUAAUGAUGGCGGCGCUGUCUCCAGCAGAGGCUCAGUGAAAUCGAAAUCGCUGUGAAGAUGCAGUGUACCCGCGGCUAGACGGAAAGACCCCGUGAACCUUUACUGCAGCUUGACACUGAACUUUGACCUUACUUGUGUAGGAUAGGUGGGAGGCUUUGAAGCUGGAACGCUAGUUCCAGUGGAGCCGUCCUUGAAAUACCACCCUGGUAAUGUUGAGGUUCUAACUCUGUCCCGUGAUCCGGGACGAGGACCGUGUCUGGUGGGUAGUUUGACUGGGGCGGUCUCCUCCUAAAGAGUAACGGAGGAGUACGAAGGUGCGCUCAGCGUGGUCGGAAAUCACGCGUAGAGUAUAAAGGCAAAAGCGCGCUUAACUGCGAGACCCACAAGUCGAGCAGGUACGAAAGUAGGUCUUAGUGAUCCGGUGGUUCUGUAUGGAAGGGCCAUCGCUCAACGGAUAAAAGGUACUCUGGGGAUAACAGGCUGAUACCGCCCAAGAGUUCAUAUCGACGGCGGUGUUUGGCACCUCGAUGUCGGCUCAUCUCAUCCUGGGGCUGAAGCAGGUCCCAAGGGUAUGGCUGUUCGCCAUUUAAAGAGGUACGCGAGCUGGGUUUAGAACGUCGUGAGACAGUUCGGUCCCUAUCUACCGUGGGCGCUGGAAAUUUGAGAGGAUCUGCUUCUAGUACGAGAGGACCAGAGUGGACGAACCUCUGGUGUACCGGUUGUGACGCCAGUCGCAUCGCCGGGUAGCUAUGUUCGGAAGGGAUAACCGCUGAAAGCAUCUAAGCGGGAAGCCUACCUCAAGAUAAGAUUUCCCUAGGACUUUAUGUCCUCUAAAGAGCCGUUCGAGACUAGGACGUUGAUAGGUUGGAUGUGGAAGCAUAGUGAUAUGUGAAGCUGACCAAUACUAAUUGCUCGUGAGGCUUGACUA
RNAcentral lists this ribosomal RNA (2889 nucleotides) under Acinetobacter baumannii 1237202. RNAcentral describes it as "bacterial LSU rRNA". It matches the Rfam family "Bacterial large subunit ribosomal RNA". Lineage: Bacteria; Pseudomonadati; Pseudomonadota; Gammaproteobacteria; Moraxellales; Moraxellaceae. The record is from RNAcentral.